CCAUUCACAAAUAGGUGCAAGACCGUCAUUGAGUCCCUCAACUAACAAUUAUAGGACCCAACCCCAUCCUUACCCUGGAGCAACUCUUUGCUAAUAUAGUGGUUGCAUGUUUUCAGUGCAACUGAACCAUUGUAACCAGCCAAGAAUAAUCAACACCAGUAGCACGCCCGCACAUCUACAAUGAUGGAAGACCUAUGGACUAAUAUUUAUGGAAAAGUUUAGG
RNAcentral lists this long non-coding RNA (223 nucleotides) under Elaeis guineensis (African oil palm). RNAcentral's name for it is "long non-coding RNA (EGUI_LNC069234)". The record is from RNAcentral. Lineage: Eukaryota; Viridiplantae; Streptophyta; Magnoliopsida; Arecales; Arecaceae.